CCAAACAGUGGAAGUGGAUACAACAAGUGGUAUCGAGACGUUCGGUCUCGACCAGCUCUUCCGCACCAAUCUCGAUCGUUAGCCAAUGUCAGAGGCUUACAGUGUUGGAGCGCUCGUGGCUGCUCUUCAGGGUAAGUGAAAGAUCGUAACCAUCUGUAUUGUUUGUCCUUGGUUGCAUCGCCCAUUGUGAUCGCAGAAGUUAGAACGGGAGCGGCGGAUCCAACCGAGGUAGAGCCGCCUCCUCAAGCCCUUCCCUUAUCCGCGGUAGUGACCACGCCGUUAUUACAUAAGGGUAGGCCCUUCUUAUUUUAGCUAAAAUGUUUAACUCCGCUCCGUUAAAUUUGGGCGGCGACCGUAAUGGCGUAGACAUGGCAUCGGGCGCGCUUGAUGCUCGCUCCACUUUGCCUGCCUACGCUGUUGCGGGACUUGUUUCCGACCCCGGUGCUAGUACUUCUAGAGUUCCGGGCGGCCCUAUUGAGGCGCCUGUUGCUGUUCGCGAACCUGAUGCGCGAACACCAUUUUCAACUUUUGCCGCAGCACCUUUGUUGCAUAUGCCCACUGGGGCUGCCGAGAAUGUUCGUUUGAGGCCACUUGGUCCUACUGGUGAUGAACGUCUCAACUCCUUGCCUUCUUUGGCCCCUUUUGCUCUGCUUUGCACCCGCUCAAUACCCCCGUGAACCGCCCCAAUGUCUCGCCUGUUAUACCAGAGACUCAGACUACAGAUGCAGACCGCCGUGCGGCGGCUGCACGGGUGUUAGCGGCGGAAGCGGCUGCUGCUGCUGAGGCUGCGGUUGCGGCGGCAGCCGUAGCCGAGCCAGAGCCUUUGCCUCCGGUUCGGUCACUCUCUUCGGCUGACCUCCCGCGGGUUAGUUUACCGACCCCUGUAUUACAAUUAGAUGCCAAGCUUGAUGCGAAGCAGACUGCUGCCCGCGUCAAGGUGUUUAUCCGCGACGCGUCUUUGUUUUUUGACAUCGUGCCCUGGGGUAGGGACCAUCGGUCUUGCUGCCUGUUUUUGUCGCAAGCGCUCUGUGGUGCUGCAAAAACGUGGUAUGAUGAGUGGUCCCUAUCGCAGCGCGAACUCACUGCUCAGCUUGUUUUCGAUAACCUGUGUACGCGUUUCGCUCCUCAAGUUAUCUCUGUAGAACAAGAAGCACGACGUAAGCUCUCUGACAAAUCUUUUGCGAUGCGUGCUGGUGAAAGUGUACCAGCUUACCUCUCGCGUCUUGAGGCCGUCUUCCAAGACAUACCCACGAUCACUCCUAGCGAGCGUAUGUUUUGGUUUUUCGAAGGCCUUUCUUCUUCCCUUCAGCCCCAUUGCGCCACAGACGUCUAUGGAAAGCCGUUUGCCUCUUACGACGCCCUGGUACAGCAUGCCUUGGGCCAGGAAGUUCGCGCCCUGUCUGAACGAAAAGUUCGUUCUGCUCUUCGUUCGAAUUCCGUUGCUUUGCAGGAAUUCGACGGAGACCAGCCCCCGUUCAAGAGGGCGCACGUGGAUUCCGGUCCUCGGCUAGCCGCGGCCGUUUCAGGGACCUCCCGGCAGCCGGGACGUGGGAGUGUUCCUGGGCGAAGUAGUCGAGGGGGCAGAACGGGUCCGUGUGGUGGGCGUGGUGACAGGGUGCGCGGCACUGACCGCCCUAACGAAUCCGCCGCCGGAGAGCCCGUCAUUCCGUUGACCAAAGCUUGCGAGUUGACCAAGUGGGUCAACCAGUUCGGCCGUAGGUUGACGCACGGGGAGGUGGGGAUUCUCCGACGGCGCGCGGGCGGUAAGGCCAUCUGUUUUUGUUGUGAGGCGGUUAGUCCCGACCACCUCUACGACGACUGCCCUGCUCUCAAAAGGUUGCGUGAAGCAGGGCUGUAUUAGGAACUUGCUCAGGGUGGUAUUGAGGGAUACUACCCUGAGUUUCCUUUUGCCGGGAUUCGUUCUUUGGUCCGCGCGGUUAGACCCGCUUCGUUGGCAGAGUUCGAGAGUGCCGUUGGACGCCGUUUUUCUUUUGACACCGUUGCGGUCAAACCGGGCUUUGACUCGGAAUGUAACAUAACGGUUCCUCA
This 2049-nucleotide long non-coding RNA is filed under the name Volvox carteri. Its description in RNAcentral is "long non-coding RNA (VCAR_LNC003614)". The record is from RNAcentral. Lineage: Eukaryota; Viridiplantae; Chlorophyta; Chlorophyceae; Chlamydomonadales; Volvocaceae.